RNAcentral lists this ribosomal RNA (294 nucleotides) under uncultured bacterium. RNAcentral describes it as "partial 16S ribosomal RNA". The record is from RNAcentral.
GGACUACUGGGGUUUCUAAUCCCGUUCGCUCCCCUGGCUUUCGCACCUCAGCGUCAGGUAUACUCGCCAGGACACUGCCUUCGCCUUCGGUGUUCCUCCGGAUCUCUACGCAUUUCACCACUCCACCCGGAAUUCCGUGUCCCUCUCGAGCCCUCAAGUCCGACCGUCUUUCGUAUGCUCGGAUAGUGAAGCCAUCCGCUGUCACACAAAACGCGCCAGACCGCCUGCAUGCCCUUUACGCCCAGUAACUCCGGACAACGCUCGCCCCCUACGUAUUACCGCGGCGGCUGGCAC